GGAAGCCGGUGAGAGUCCGGCACGGUCGCGCCACUGUGAACGGACGCCCCAGGCGUGCGUGAGUCAGAC
Molecule: non-coding RNA, 69 nt
Filed under: Streptomyces sp.
Lineage: Bacteria; Bacillati; Actinomycetota; Actinomycetes; Kitasatosporales; Streptomycetaceae
Source: RNAcentral